AUGAAGACCUUUCUCAUCCUUGCCCUCCUUGCUAUCGUGGCGACCACCGCCACAACUGCAGUUAGAGUUCCAGUGCCACAAUUGCAGCCACAAAAUCCAUCUCAGCAACAGCCACAAGAGCAAGUUCCAUUGGUACAACAACAACAAUUUCCAGGGCAGCAACAACAAUUUCCACCACAACAGCCAUAUCCGCAGCCGCAACCAUUUCCAUCACAACAACCAUAUCUGCAACUGCAACCAUUUCCGCAGCCGCAACCAUUUCCGCCACAACUACCAUAUCCGCAGCCGCAAUCAUUUCCACCACAACAACCAUAUCCACAACAGCAACCACAGUAUCUACAACCACAACAACCAAUUUCGCAGCAACAAGCACAACAACAACAACAACAACAACAACAAUAACAACAACAACAACAAAUCCUUCAACAAAUUUUGCAACAACAACUGAUUCCAUGCAGGGAUGUUGUCUUGCAACAACACAACAUAGCGCAUGCAAGCUCACAAGUUUUGCAACAAAGUACUUACCAGCUAUUGCAACAAUUGUGUUGUCAACAACUGUUGCAGAUCCCUGAGCAGUCGAGGUGCCAAGCCAUCCAUAAUGUUGCUCAUGCUAUUAUUAUGCAUCAACAACAACAACAACAACAAGAACAACAACAACAGUUGCAACAACAACAGCAGCAGCAACUGCAACAACAAUGACAACAACCGUCGAGCCAGGUCUCCUUCCAACAGCCUCAGCAGCAAUAUCCAUCAAGCCAGGUCUUCUUCCAGCCAUCUCAGCUAAACCCACAGGCUCAGGGCUCCGUCCAACCUCAACAACUGCCCCAGUUCGCGGAAAUAAGGAACCUAGCGCUACAGACGCUACCUGCAAUGUGCAAUGUCUACAUCCCUCCACAUUGCUCGACCACCAUUGCGCCAUUUGGCAUCUUUGGUACCAACUGA
Molecule: ribosomal RNA, 942 nt
Filed under: Triticum aestivum (bread wheat)
Lineage: Eukaryota; Viridiplantae; Streptophyta; Magnoliopsida; Poales; Poaceae
Description: partial small subunit ribosomal RNA
Source: RNAcentral